This 433-nucleotide ribosomal RNA is filed under the name uncultured bacterium. RNAcentral describes it as "partial 16S ribosomal RNA". It matches the Rfam family "Bacterial small subunit ribosomal RNA", at positions 28 to 507 of the family's 1533-position model. The record is from RNAcentral.
GAUGAACGCUGGCGGCAUGCCUAACACAUGCAAGUCGAACGAGACGUUCGGGACUAGUGGCGCACGGGUGCGUAACCCGUGGGGCUCUGCCCUUGGGUUCGGAAUACCUCGCAGAAAGGCGUGCUAAUACCGGAUGAAGACGUCAGUCCAAAGAUUUAUGGAACAAGGGUGAGCCGGCGUUGGAUUCGCUAGUUCGCGAGGUAAAAGCUGACCAAGGCGAUGAUUCAGAGCUGGUCUGCGAGACUGAGCCGCCACCCUGAGACUGAGACGCGGCCGAGACUCCUACGGGAGGAAGCAGGGGGGAAGAUUGGACCAGGGGCGAAGGCCUGAUGAAGCAAGGCUGCGUGAGUGAUGAAGGCCUUAGGGUUGGAAAGCACUAUUACCCGGGAUGGUAUUGACGGUACCAGGAGAAUAAGCCCCGGCUAACUCCGUG